RNAcentral lists this ribosomal RNA (460 nucleotides) under uncultured bacterium. RNAcentral's name for it is "partial 16S ribosomal RNA". It matches the Rfam family "Bacterial small subunit ribosomal RNA", at positions 338 to 795 of the family's 1533-position model. The record is from RNAcentral.
CCUACGGGAGGCAGCAGUGAGGAAUAUUGGGCAAUGGACGAGAGUCUGAACCAGCCAAGUAGCGUGAAGGAUGACUGCCCUAUGGGUUGUAAACUUCUUUUAUAUGGGAAUAAAAUGUUCCACGUGUGGGAUUUUGUAUGUACCCUAUGAAUAAGGAUCGGCUAACUCCGUGCCAGCAGCCGCGGUAAUACGGAGGAUCCGAGCGUUAUCCGGAUUUAUUGGGGUUAAGGGGAGCGUAGGUGGAUUGUUAAGUCAGUUGUGAAAGUUUGCGGCUCAACCGUAAAAUUGCAGUUGAAACUGGCAGUCUUGAGUACAGUAGAGGUGGGCGGAAUUCGUGGUGUAGCGGUGAAAUGCUUAGAUAUCACGAAGAACUCCGAUUGCGAAGGCAGUUCACUGGACUGCAACUGACACUGAGGCUCGAAAGUGUGGGUAUCAAACAGGAUUAGAUACCCGUGUAGUC